CCUACGGGAGGCAGCAGUGGGGAAUAUUGCACAAUGGGGGGAACCCUGAUGCAGCGAUGCCGCGUGGAGGAAGAAGGUUUUCGGAUUGUAAACUCCUUUUAUCAGGGACGAUCAUGACGGUACCUGAAGAAAAAGAUACGGCUAACUACGUGCCAGCAGCCGCGGGAAUACGUAGGGAGCGAGCGUUGUACGGAAUAACUGGGUGUAAAGGGAACGUAGGAGGGACGGCAAGUCAGAUGUGAAAACUGAGGGCUCAACCUUCAGACUGCAUUUGACACUGCUGUUCUUGAGGGAAGUAGAGGUAAGCGGAAGUCCUGGUGUAGCGGUGAAAUGCGUAGAUAUUAAGAGGAACAUCGGUGGCGAAGGCGGCUUACUGGGCUUUUACUGACGCUGAGGCUCGAAGGCGUGGGGAGCAAACAGGAUUAGAUACCCUUGUAGUC
This 440-nucleotide ribosomal RNA is filed under the name uncultured bacterium. RNAcentral describes it as "partial 16S ribosomal RNA". It matches the Rfam family "Bacterial small subunit ribosomal RNA", at positions 338 to 795 of the family's 1533-position model. The record is from RNAcentral.